UGGCAGUGGAAGCACAGGCUCCACAUCCUCACAGCUCAGAUGACACGGAAACUGCUACAGUUUGAGGCGAGAGAUGCCUCGCCACAUCCUCACAGCGUCAUGUGUUUCGGAGCCCUCGAAAGUGACUUUGGGAACAGCUCCUCCCCAUGUCCUCACUACGUCAUGCCUGUGUACAAUAGCCUUGUCAACCUGAACGUGGCCAGAGCAUCCAAGCGCAGAACACAUCAGGGCCCUGUGGAGAAAUCCAUCAGGUGAAUGAGGACAGAGGCCACCACACACACCGUGACUUGACUUUGAAGAACACGAGGAUGCGUGUACAGUGCAUAUGUGAGCAGGGCCACUACACAAAUGUCCUGACACACUCAGGCAUGUGUGAAGACCUGAGCCACAGGGAUGUGAAGAGCGGCCUCCCAUGUCCUGCCAAGCAGGGCAUGUGUGGUCCCUCUCCAACAGGAAAGCUCACAUAUUGAGCCCUUUACCCGGUGGACAGGAUAGGAGCCCCACCUAUCCACUUCUGACCGUCUCAGAAGUGUGGAAACCCACAGCAGCAUGGGUAUGACCAAAGCUAGGCACCUGUGGUGAUGAUCAAUCACAUGCAUGUACGGCGGCAUCGGCAAUAAGUAUGUGAACAGAGCCAAUACGAUGAAUGACUCAGGCAUGUGCCAAACUCUGUGCACGGUGAGUAUGCAAAGAAUACCCCUAUACCCUAACACCCCAUACAUGCACACAUGCUCAGCAUCUCAAGCAAGUGUGUACCCCUGUAAAAAACUAAGAACUGAGCAGCACCCUCAUUUCUCCUGACAAACUCAGGCACAUGCGGGGCCCUGCAAGAUCAUGUGAGCAGCGCCUCCAUGUCUUGCGGACCUGAAUUGUGUGCAGAAUCAUCCACAACAUGGAUGUGAAUACAACACCAUUACAAUGGGAACGUGAGCAGAUACCACACACCCUGGAUACUUGCAUCAUGCAUGGAUCCCUCUUCAAAGUGGAUGUGAGGAGUGGCCCACCAUUUCCUGAACCUCUCACGUAGGUCCUAUAAAGUGGAUGCAAGAAGAGCCAUUCCCUUCCUCUCAUCUCAUGCAUGUGGAGCCGUCUUCACCAUAGAAUUUGAACAGAGCAACUUAUUCUGUCAAGGCCUCAGGCAUGUGUGGAGCCCUCUACGAGGGAGUAGAAACAGUGCCUCCACAUACACACCGACCACCUCAGGCAACAGUGGAGCCAUGGACAAUACUCUAUGUGGGCAAAGCCCUCUUGUGUCUGGCCAACCUCAGGCAGCCAUUGUAAUCUGGCCAGGUGAAGAUCAUCUCUACAAGUCUAGAGCUUAGGCCAGAGGGAAGUGAACACACUUCCUGUGUGCAAACUUGUAUGGUGCUUGGGAGCCCUCUUCAAGGAGAGUGGAAGCAUAGGCCUCACAUCCUGAAACCCCAGAUAGCCGUGGAGACCUCUACAAUGUGAGAAGCGCACCCCCACAUCCUUACACCCUCAGGUGUUUGCAACUCCACUACAAAGUGACUUUAGGAACAGCCCCUCCCCCUUUCCCAACUACCACAUGCCUCUGUGUUGAGCUCUCUUCAACCUGAAUGACCGCAGCACCCGUGGGUGGACCUCAUCAGGCUCGUGUCAGGGAAUCCAUUAGGUGCAUGUGGACAGAGGCCCCCAUGUACACUGUGACAUGACUUAUGAAGAAUGUGGGGAGCCCUGUGCAUGUGUAUGUGAGCAGGGCCACCACCCACAUGUCCUGACACACUCAGGCAUUUGUGAAGAUCUGAGACACACAGGAGCACACGACCAAGGCAGCUCCUUCUCGGUCACAUAUGGGGCCCUCUACCCCGUGGACAGCAUGUGAGCCCAAACUCCUUUUGAAUGUCUCAGAAGUGUGAAAACCAACUACAUCACAGGUGUGAUCAGAGCCAUGUGCCUGUGGUGAUGAUCACAUGUAUACGUGGCCACUUCAAAAAUGAAGAUAAGAACAGAGCCACUAGUAUCCUAAAACCCUGAGGCAUGUGCAGAACUGUCUGCAAGGUGAGUAUGGGUGCAAUGCCCCUAUCCCCCACACCCACACACCCACAUGUUCACCAUCUCAGUCAGAUGUGCAGCCCUGUACCAACCAAGAGGUAAGCAAUGCCCUCCUGUGUCCUCCCAAAGUCGGGCACAUGCAGGGCCCUGCCAGAUCAUGUGAGCAGAGCCUCCACAUCCUGCCGAGGUGAAUUAUGUGCAGAAUCAUCUCCAACACAUAUGUGAGUAGAACACCUUUCUCCUCACCUCCUCAGAUGUUCCUAUCCCAGGGUCACAAGGAGAAUGUGGUCUGGGCCUUCCAUGUCACAAGUGAAGCCAUAUGUAGAAACCUCUAAAACGGGGAUAUGAGCAGCACCAACCCAUGUCCUGAGCACCUCAGGAAUAUGCAUGUGAGCAGCAUGCCCCAUGUUCUGACAAACUCAAGUAAAUUUGGAGCACUUCUACCAGGCUGAGAGCAGAAAGCCACAGGUCUUGACCUCCUCAGGUUGGUAAAGACACCUGGCAAAUGUAGAUGUGACCAAAAUCUCCAUGCAUGUCCUGAUUUUCCGGGUGUGACUUGCACUCUGUGUGAUAUACAUGUGCAUGCAGUCUUCCACAUGUGGAUGAACUCAGCCAUGUGUGGAGCCCUGUACAACAAGGAUGUGAACAUGAAGAAGGCCCAAGGGUCUUCUUGUGCUGACCAUCUGGGGCCUGUAUAAAAUGUGGAUGGGAGUGGAGCCACAUCCCGCCAUCAUUGCUGUAGGGAUAUACACCAGGCCUCUGUAACAUCUACAUGGCCACAUCCCCACCCACAUCUCCACCAUCUCAGGUGUGUGGAAUCCCACGCGAUGUGCAUAUGAGGCCAUAGCCUCAAAUAUGGAAAUUUCAUGCACGAGGAGAGGCCCGAAGAACAUGGACAUGAACACAAUUCACCAUAUAGCUAAUUCUACUUCUAUUGUGAUCCCGUGCACUAUGUAGUUGUAACUGAGAUCACCAUGAUCUCACUAACUGGCUGAUCAUGGAGCCCUCUCUGAUAUAAUUGUGAGCAGGGCUGCCUGCAUCUCCCUGACCUGUCAUCCCUGCCUAAGGUGUGUGGAGAACAUUGUACAAUGUGAACUAGACCUGAACACCCACCAUGUCCUCAACUGCUCAGAUUUGUCUGAUGACUUGUGCAAUGGAAAUGUAAAUCCAGCCCUCACCCCAUGGCCAGAAGUCUGCCGCAAGGGUGUGUGCACAAUCACCCCACCAGCUGCCUGUCCCCAUUGUCAGAAACAGUACAGUGUUGUGCGCAUACACCCCCACCCUGACCACCUCAUGAGAGUGUGAUAUAAGCAGGGAUAUUCGCCCAUGUCCUGAAGCCCUCAGGCACUGGUGGAGCCCUGUACAAUGAGAAAGUGAACAGAGCCUAUCCAUGUCCCUACUCACGGGCAUGCGUGGAACCCUGUACGACAUGGAUGUGAGCAGACCACUGUAACCAGACUGGCUUCGGUUUUGGAGCUCUCUGUUCCAAGGAGGAAGUUACCAGAACUAUCUAUUUCCUGACCACCUCAGCAGGUGGAGGAGCCCUCUGAAAGAAGAAACUGAGCACUGCCAUAUUGUUUUGAGCAUGCUGGGGAUGUGGAGUGCUCUGUAAUGUGCCUGAGAGCAGAGCACAUCGGCAGGUGACACACACUAUGAAAUGGACGUGAGUAGAGCCCCCAGUAUCCUUUCCAUUUCAGAAACGAGCAGGGACCUCUACAACAUGGAUGUGGAGCAGAUCCCUUAAUUUCGUGAUCAUCUUCAUAGGAUGUGGGUCCUUAUACAACAAGGAGGGCAGGCCUGACAACUCCAGGCCCCUACAUCCUCACAUCACAGGCAUGUGCAGAACGCUCUACACUACAUACAGGAGCAGAGACCUCCACUCACUGACUAUAACCAUCUCAUGUGUGUGGAGCCCCAUAUGUGGAUCUGAGUACACUCCAUCAUUUCUGAGAUCAGUCGUAUAUGCAGAGCCUUCUACAGCAUGGAUAUUGGUGGAGGUCCUGACCGUCAUCACACGGAUGGGGACCCCUUCCAACAUGCAGGACCAUGGGAGAAAGUUGGAGCUGGAUGUCAUGGUGCACACCUCUAAUCCCAACACUGAACAGGCUGACGCAGGAGGAGUUGGAGUUUGAUGUCAGCCCUCACAGCGAUUUGGCUGGUGUACCUGACAAAUAAACACUGUGUGCA
This is a long non-coding RNA of Heterocephalus glaber (naked mole-rat), 4200 nucleotides long. RefSeq lists it as uncharacterized. The record is from RefSeq and is a predicted model, not a curated record. NCBI's taxonomy places the organism in Eukaryota, Metazoa, Chordata, Mammalia, Rodentia, Bathyergidae.